GGGUAGAUACCGAAGUGGCCAAACGGGGCGGACUGUAAAUCCGCUGGCUUACGCCUUCACUGGUUCGAAUCCAGUUCUGCCCACCA
RNAcentral lists this transfer RNA (86 nucleotides) under Pseudomonadota bacterium. Its description in RNAcentral is "Proteobacteria bacterium tRNA-Tyr". It matches the Rfam family "tRNA". From Rfam's summary of the family: Transfer RNA (tRNA) molecules are approximately 80 nucleotides in length. RNAcentral also lists the same sequence under 4 other names. Lineage: Bacteria; Pseudomonadati; Pseudomonadota. The record is from RNAcentral.